UGUUUCGGCUAGGGGGCCAUCCCGGCUUACCAACCCGAUGCAAACUGCGAAUACCGGAGAAUGUUAUCACGGGAGACACACGGCGGGUGCUAACGUCCGUCGUGAAGAGGGAAACAACCCAGACCGCCAGCUAAGGUCCCAAAGUCAUGGUUAAGUGGGAAACGAUGUGGGAAGGCCCAGACAGCCAGGAUGUUGGCUUAGAAGCAGCCAUCAUUUAAAGAAAGCGUAAUAGCUCACUGGUCGAGUCGGCCUGCGCGGAAGAUGUAACGGGGCUAAACCAUGCACCGAAGCUGCGGCAGCGACACUGUGUGUUGUUGGGUAGGGGAGCGUUCUGUAAGCCUGCGAAGGUGGCCUGUGAGGGUUGCUGGAGGUAUCAGAAGUGCGAAUGCUGACAUAAGUAACGAUAAAGCGGGUGAAAAGCCCGCUCGCCGGAAGACCAAGGGUUCCUGUCCAACGUUAAUCGGGGCAGGGUGAGUCGACCCCUAAGGCGAGGCCGAAAGGCGUAGUCGAUGGGAAACGGGUUAAUAUUCCCGUACUUGGUGUUACUGCGAAGGGGGGACGGAGAAGGCUAUGUUGGCCGGGCGACGGUUGUCCCGGUUUAAGCGUGUAGGUGUGUGUUCCAGGUAAAUCCGGUUCACUUUAACACUGAGGCGUGACGACGAGGCACUACGGUGCUGAAGCAACAAAUGCCCUGCUUCCAGGAAAAGCCUCUAAGCAUCAGGUAACAUCAAAUCGUACCCCAAACCGACACAGGUGGUCAGGUAGAGAAUACCAAGGCGCUUGAGAGAACUCGGGUGAAGGAACUAGGCAAAAUGGUGCCGUAACU
This 826-nucleotide ribosomal RNA is filed under the name Salmonella enterica subsp. enterica. RNAcentral's name for it is "partial 23S ribosomal RNA". It matches the Rfam family "Bacterial large subunit ribosomal RNA", at positions 911 to 1735 of the family's 2925-position model. Lineage: Bacteria; Pseudomonadati; Pseudomonadota; Gammaproteobacteria; Enterobacterales; Enterobacteriaceae. The record is from RNAcentral.